GAAUCUAGCUUCAGGUCUGGGACAACCACUGGAAACGGUGGCUAAUACCGGAUGUGCCGGAAGGUGAAAGGCUUGCUGCCUGAAGAUGAGCUCGCGUCUGAUUAGCUAGUUGGUGGGGUAAAAGCCUACCAAGGCGACGAUCAGUAGCUGGUCUGAGAGGAUGACCAGCCACACUGGGACUGAGACACGGCCCAGACUCCUACGGGAGGCAGCAGUGGGGAAUUUUCCGCAAUGGGCGAAAGCCUGACGGAGCAAUACCGCGUGAGGGAGGAAGGCUCUUGGGUUGUAAACCUCUUUUCUCAGGGAAGAACACAAUGACGGUACCUGAGGAAUCAGCAUCGGCUAACUCCGUGCCAGCAGCCGCGGUAAUACGGAGGAUGCAAGCGUUAUCCGGAAUGAUUGGGCGUAAAGCGUCCGCAGGUGGCUGUGUAAGUCUGCUGUCAAAGAGCGAAGCUCAACUUCGUAAAGGCAGUGGAAACUACACGGCUAGAGUGCGUUCGGGGCAGAGGGAAUUCCUGGUGUAGCGGUGAAAUGCGUAGAGAUCAGGAAGAACACCGGUGGCGAAGGCGCUCUGCUAGGCCGCAACUGACACUGAGGGACGAAAGCUAGGGGAGCGA
Molecule: ribosomal RNA, 617 nt
Filed under: uncultured cyanobacterium
Lineage: Bacteria; Bacillati; Cyanobacteriota
Description: bacterial SSU rRNA
Rfam family: Bacterial small subunit ribosomal RNA
Source: RNAcentral